RNAcentral lists this ribosomal RNA (117 nucleotides) under Cordylochernes scorpioides. Lineage: Eukaryota; Metazoa; Arthropoda; Arachnida; Pseudoscorpiones; Chernetidae. The record is from RNAcentral.
UUGGUUAGAGAACAGGUUAACACAGGUUCUCGUCCAAUCACCAAAGUUAAGCAAUGUUGGGCCCGGUCAGUACUUGGGAGGGUGACCACCUGGGAACACUGGGUGUAGCUGUAAUCU